AAGUCGUAACAAGGUUUCCGUAGGUGAACCUGCGGAAGGAUCAUUAUCGAAUUAUAAUCCCGACGAAGGGAAUCGAGUCGGCUGUCGCUGGCCCUUUCGCGAGGCAUGUGCACGCUUUCUUUCCUACCUUCGUCGUAUGGGCCGGGGCCGACCCGCGUCUUCAUAUACCUCUUCGUGUAGAAAGUCUUUGAAUGUUUUUUUGACAAUCGUCGAGUCGCGACUUCUAGGAGACGCGAUUCUUCGAGACAAAACGUUAUUACAA
RNAcentral lists this unclassified non-coding RNA (262 nucleotides) under plant metagenome. Its description in RNAcentral is "partial contains small subunit ribosomal RNA and internal transcribed spacer 1". The stretch from base 1 to 46 matches the Rfam family "Eukaryotic small subunit ribosomal RNA", at positions 1786 to 1831 of the family's 1831-position model. The record is from RNAcentral.